This 253-nucleotide ribosomal RNA is filed under the name uncultured bacterium. RNAcentral describes it as "partial 16S ribosomal RNA". It matches the Rfam family "Bacterial small subunit ribosomal RNA", at positions 524 to 776 of the family's 1533-position model. The record is from RNAcentral.
UACGUAGGGGGCAAGCGUUGUCCGGAUUUAUUGGGCGUAAAGAGCGUGUAGGCGGCCAGACAGGUCCGUUGUGAAAACUCGAGGCUCAACCUCGAGACGCCGAUGGAAACCGUCUGGCUAGAGUCCGGAAGAGGAGAGUGGAAUUCCCAGUGUAGCGGUGAAAUGCGUAGAUAUUGGGAAGAACACCGGUGGCGAAGGCGGCUCUCUGGGACGGUACUGACGCUGAGACGCGAAAGCGUGGGGAGCGAACAGG